Long non-coding RNA from Physella acuta, 3765 nucleotides. RefSeq lists it as uncharacterized. The record is from RefSeq and is a predicted model, not a curated record. NCBI's taxonomy places the organism in Eukaryota, Metazoa, Mollusca, Gastropoda, Physidae.
GGGGGGUGGCACUUCUGGCAAACAUCAUCAGCAAAGUCCAACAGCAGUUUCUUUUCCACACCUUUUGAGAUGCCCAUGAUUUUUAGAAGUAAUUCAUUAAGCCAUCAAGACUCUCAAGUACACGAGUCCAACUGAGUCUUCAACGAAGUUCAACAGUAAAUUUAUUGAGAAACCCAUAUUUUUUCUUCAAAAUCAAUGAGUGGUAACAAGUUCACGAUAAAGACAUUGUCAAACAUCAGCCAGAUCCUUCUGGUUAGGUUUUAGUUACCUUAUGUAUUUUUCUAAUCAUGUAUGAGUUUUUUCCCCUGCAGACAUAAAAUUACAUCCUAGCAGGUCACUGAAGUCCAUCAGUAGAUUGAUUUAUUUCCAAAUUCCACGAUGUGUAUUAAUUUUUAGUCUACAAAAAACACAUGUGUGAAAUCUUCAAGAAAAGACAUUUUCAACCCUCUUCUGGAUGUUCAAGUUUUAAAAAUUGUGUCCAUAAACAGAAUGUCAGCAAUCAUCCAGACGAUUAUGAAAUAACAUUCUUAACCUUCCUCAACCCAAGGGGCUCUUUAAUCAAGUCUAUAAAACACGUGUGUGAAAUCUUCAAGAAAAGACAAUUUCAAGAUGAAGCCAGGAUUUCAACCCUCUUCUGGAUGUUCAAGUUUUAAAAAACUGUGAAAAUAAACAGAAUGUCAACAAUGAAAUAACACUCUUAACCUUCCUCAAGAGGCUCUUUAAUCAAGUCAACAACAGCACCUGUGUGAAAUCUUCAAGAAAAGACAUUUUCAAGCAGAAGCCAGGAUCUCAACAAACUUCUGGAUGUUCAAGAUUAAUAUUUGGAAAAUGUAAUAGUAUUUAUUUAUUUAUUUUUGUAAAGGGAGGGAAUUCAAGUAAAAUUUAGUUAUGUUUUAAAGGGGUAGGAUCUGGUGGGUGAUAUACAAUUAACUUAUUACACCUUUUGUUUUUCUUUUGUUUCACUGUCAUUGUUCUUUCUAUUGGAUGGAUGGUGGGGAUGCAGAGUAUGGUUUUUGUGGGUCAGGGGAGGGUUAUCCUGACGGAAGGUGGGUGUGGAAGAGGGGGCAGCUGGUAAUGGUGGCACACCAGGGAGAUGAACAGUUGGAGAGGUCUGCUCAAUAGAGCAGGCCGCCUGCCAACCUCCGCUGCGAGUGUGUUGACAUCUGUGGCCUGCUCGGCUGGCCCAUUGUUGAUUACCAGAUAAUGCCUGAACCCUAGCCUUGUCAGUCUGGAUAAUGUGUCAUAUGUUUGUGAAUAUUGCAGUUUCCUUGUCUAUGUAAGCAGAGUGCCUGAUUGUAAACAGGUCGUUUCAUUAGUAAUGUGCAAGCUGUUUCACUUAUUUUUUUUCCUGUUACAAUGCACAAAUAGAAACAUAGGCUCUUUUAGGAAAGGGAAAGGAACCAGGGGCUUGUUGUGGUGUUAAUGUUGCUAACAUCAUCAAAGUAUUUAGUUAACUAAAUGUAAAACUUUUAACAAGUAAUAUUCUUGACUUGCAGACAUGAUGUAAUAUUUAAAUCCGGUGAGAACUGGACAUAAACUAAAGAAAAAACCUUUGUCCUUUAAGGCCUUUUUCAAUAUAAAGAGUAGUUUAUUCUCUUUGGCAAUGUGGUAGCGAUUGUUCCAUUUACACUGUAUUUGUUAGUAAAAGAAUAGGGACCAGUGGCUCUCUAGCUUGUUUUAAUAGAAAGAAAAAUAGUCAACCUGUAAAAUUUAUAAGAAAUCAUAAUUUUUAAGAAAAGAAAUAUAUAAAUAUAAUAGUAAUGGUACUAAAUAGUAUAGACUGUCCACAACCUGACUUUUGAUAUUUCUGGCAUUAGGGGAGGAAUGCUAGAAACGUCUAAAGUUAAGUUUAAUCAGCUGUUUUCAUGGCCUUUAGUUGUGAAGGCAUUUAGGGAUGCUGAAGACAACUAUAUUUUUCAGGCAGCACUGACACUAAACAGUCUAUAUUAUCAAACCAGUUUUCAGAAAAAUGAAAAUUCCUUAAAAUAUAAAAAAAAACCCUCUACAAUUAUUUAUAACAGAGUUAUUACCUGAUUCAAGGUGUAUCUACAUUAGGGCAUGAAUGUUAGAUACAUCUAAAAUUGAGUUUAAUCUCUGUCAGCCGUUUUCAUUAUUCAGGCCACACUUGCACAGAAUUUAGAAAAAAGAAAAUUCCUUAAAAUAUAAAAAAAAACCUCUACAAUUAUUUAUAACUGAGUUAUUACCUGAUUCAAGGUGUAUCUACAUUAGGGCAUGAAUGUUAGAUACAUCUAAAAUUAAGUUUAAUCUCUGUCAGCCGUUUUCAUUAUUCAGGCCACACUUGCACAGAAUUUCUAUAUUUAAAAAAAAGGAAAUUCCUAAAGAUGUACAGUAUGACUUAUAAUUAUCAAUAGGUUAUAGUGAAUGUAUUUUCUACCAUUUCUCAGAAAUGACAAUCUGAGACAGCCCCAUAUGAUUUAGGAAAAUAUACAUUUAUUUUUUUUCCAAGUCAAGAAUUGUUUCUAACAAGCUGGGCUAAAAAAAUAGUGUUUUAUAAUUUCCUAUUUUCUUGUUAAGAUAUUUUAGUGUUCUUAAUUUGUCAAGCAGCUAUAACUAAAAAGUUUAUGGGGCACCUUUAGUAGAAGCAAAUGCUGAUUAGUCUCUGAACUAAUGAAGCGACCUUUCAUAAUUAUGCACUUUCAUCAAAGAUUUAGGAAAGAUAAUGCAAUAUUCACAACUUUAUGUGAUGCAUUAUCGACACUGACCUGUGCUAGGAAUUAGGGCUAACGUCUGGUAUGAUACAAUGGGUACAGCCGACAGGUCCACAGCUCUGUCAACACCAAGUCAGCGGAGGGGCAGGUUCCAACACAUCUACUGGUAAAGCCUAUACCAUAUAGAAACCAGCAUGCCCAUGUCGGGAUUGGUGGGGGUGUUAAGGGUGGGAUUGGGGAGGUGAGAGAGUUGUGUAUAUAUGUAGUCCUCUCUUUAUGUUAUGUGUAAUAAGUUAAUUGUUUUUACUGGUCGUAAAUAAUUAGGUAGUUUUACUUGAAAUCCUUCCCUAUUUUUUAUGCUAUAUUUUGUUUGAGGAGUCAUUUUGCAAAUUUGUCUAUGCAAUUUUAGAGAAAGGAAUGUUUCAUAUUAAAAACAAUUUUUUUAAAUAUGAUCUCUAAAAGCAGUUCAUGUAUUUCAUAUAAUUUGUUUUCUACUGUAAGAGAGAAAGUGUAAGUUGAAUUUAUCAUCAAAAGAUUGAUAUGAAUGUAGUUUUAUUUGAACUCACUGUAAUGUGUUAGGAGUGCCAGGGAUGCAAUGUUUAUUUGAAUUAUUGUAAUGUUAGAGAAUGGCAGGAAUGAAAGUUACAUCUAUGCUAUUGUAAUACUAGGAGUGUCAGGAUUUCAUUUUUGAUUCAAGUUAUUGUAAUGUAAGAGAAUGACAUGAAUGAUAUUUAAUUUAUUGUAAACUAAAUUAUAUAUAUAUUUUUUUUUUCAUGAAAUUACACUAAAUUCAUAUUGAAAUGACGAUGAUAUUUAAUAGUUUUUUGUACUAGAUUAUAUUUUCAUAUGGAUUGAAUUGUUUUAAAUAUGAAGCAUUCCUUACAGGCCAAUGAUGCAACAUGUCAACAUUACUUUUAAUGAUAAGCAACAUGAUAAGCAAAGAAUAUUCUUACAUCAUUACUGACAACAACUGAGGCCAGUUAGUUAAAAAUGUAUUUAUAAUUGAAGAUAGUCCUAAAUCAUCUCAGACUUGACUGCCAGUCUUUAUUUUGUAUUUAUAGCAUGCUUCUUAAAACAUUAAACAUUGCUGAAAGUG